UACGUAGGGGGCAAGCGUUGUCCGGAAUCAUUGGGCGUAAAGCGCGUGUAGGCGGCUUGGUAAGUCUGCUCUGAAAGCCCGGGGCUCAACCCCGGGAGGCGGGUGGAUACUGUCAAGCUCGAGUCCGGAAGAGGAGUGUGGAAUUCCUGGUGUAGCGGUGAAAUGCGCAGAUAUCGGGAGGAACACCGGUGGCGAAGGCGGUUCUCUGGGCCUUACCUGACGCUGAGGCGCGAAAGCUAGGGUAGCAAACGGG
RNAcentral lists this ribosomal RNA (253 nucleotides) under uncultured bacterium. RNAcentral's name for it is "partial 16S ribosomal RNA". It matches the Rfam family "Bacterial small subunit ribosomal RNA", at positions 524 to 776 of the family's 1533-position model. The record is from RNAcentral.